AAAUUAAUAAUCCAUUUUUAUUUUAUUUUUUUAACUUCACACAAAAACCCGAGCGGUUUAUGUUUUAGACCUGGUCCGAAAAAACCAGAUUUCACGAAAUCAGAACCGGUUUUCUCCCGAGAUAAUAAACCCCUGCUGGGAACAAAUAUCCAUAUCGUCGCAAACCGACCGACGUAUCGGACGAUCUCAACCGUCCGAUACCGAUCGGGCGGUGCAUGGUAGAGGACCCGGAUCCGGGAGGAACAGUGCUUGCCGAAUACCGACGGCACGAAAAGGUGAAGUGCACACAUGAUAGUACAUUACAUUGCUACUACUACAUGAUAUGCAUUACAUUACACCUGUCCCCAGAUGCGCCUCACGCCUCCUCACGGGCUCACGCGGUCACGCCUAUAAAACGCGCCACCCCUGCCCUUCCCACGCAUCAUCACAUCAUCCACUGCUCUGCUUCUCCUCUUCUUUUCUUGGCUUGUGCUCUGUUUUAAUUUCUUUGCAAUGAUGGGGAGGCAGAGCUCGUCGGCGGCGAGGAGGGUGGUGGUGGUGGUGUGCGCGGCGAUGGUGGUGGCGGCGGCGGCGGCGCAGAAGUACAAUGCGGUGUACAACUUCGGGGACUCGAUCACGGACACCGGCAACCUGUGCACCAAUGGCAGGCCGUCGCAGAUCACCUUCACCCAGCCUCCCUACGGCGAGACCUACUUCGGCUCCCCUACCUGCCGCUGCUGCGACGGCCGCGUCGUCGUCGACUUCCUCGCGAGUAAGUUCGGGCUGCCGUUCCUGCCGCCGUCGAAGUCGACGAGCGCCGACUUCAAGAAGGGAGCGAACAUGGCGAUCACCGGAGCCACCGCCAUGGACGCCAACUUCUUCCGCUCCCUCGGCCUCUCCGACAAGAUCUGGAACAACGGCCCCAUCAGCUUUCAAAUCCAGUGGUUCCAGCAAAUCUCCUCCUCCGUCUGCGGCCAGAAUUGCAAGAGCUACCUGGCGAACUCGCUGUUCGUGUUCGGGGAGUUCGGCGGCAACGACUACAAUGCGAUGCUGUUCGGAGGGUACAGCGCGGACCAGGCGAGCACGUACACGUCGCAGAUCGUGGACACCAUCUCCAACGGCGUCGAGAAGCUCAUCGCCAUGGGCGCCGUCGACGUCGUCGUCCCCGGCGUGCUCCCCAUCGGCUGCUUCCCCAUCUACCUCACCAUCUACGGCACCUCCUCCAGCUCCGACUACGACAGCCUCGGCUGCCUCAAGAAGUUCAACGACCUCUCCACCAACCACAACAAUCAGCUCAAGACCAAGAUCUCCGCGCUCCAAUCCAAGUACAAGUCCGCCCGCAUCAUGUACGCCGACUUCUACUCCGGCGUCUACGACAUGGUCCGCAACCCCGGCAACUACGGUACGCACACCACUCCGCUUACACUGUUACACAAAAAUAACUAAUUCUACGGCCCUGUCUAGUUCUAAAGUUUUUUUUCAAACUUCCAACUUUCCAUCACAUCAAACAUUUCAUAGACACAUAAUUUUUCUAUCACAUCGUAUCAAUUUUAACCAAAACUUCUAAACUUCAGUGUGACUACGUAUAUAUUGCCAGUACGUUGCAACGUGAUUUGGAUUUUUUUAAAAAAAUUUGUGCACGAGGGAGACAGGGGGCCAUGUGAGCCGUAGCAAGAUUCCUCAGUUUUGUGCCAGUGAAUGAGCAGUUUGCUUAAGUAGGGUAGUAGUGUCCGACAUGGGCAAUCCGAGCUCGUGAUUGCCAUUUUAUAUGGGGGGAACAGUAGUCGUCUUGCUCCAACGACUAGCUAGACACCCAAAUUAUGCCAGAUUAAUGGCAGAUACGCCCGAUUAGGUGUGUGGACUUAUGUUUGUACCUACGAAUCCAACUGCACGCACGUUCCUCCGUUCCCUCACCGGAACUCACCCCAUGUUCCCCCAACUAAACACACAUGUGAGACAGUGUCAAACGACUACCCCCGAGCAGUGGCGUUUUGGCAGUGUGCAUCCUACUCCUUUCAUUCUAAAAUAUAAGAGAUUUUAAACGGAUGUCUAAAUUCGUAGCACUAAAAAGAGUCACAUCUAUUCAAAAUCCUUUAUGUUUCAUGACGGAUGGAGUAGAUGAUACAGAGACCAAAGAUGAUUAAACUGAUGAGCUAUAUAUAUUUUUUGACAUGUAGGAUUUAGCACGGUGUUCGAGACGUGCUGCGGGUCAGGCGGCGGCAAGUUCAACUACAACAACAACGCGAGGUGUGGGAUGUCAGGCGCAUCAGCGUGCUCCAACCCGGCGUCGCAUCUUAGCUGGGACGGCAUCCACCUCACCGAGGCAGCUUACAAGCAGAUCACUGACGGCUGGCUCAACGGCCCGUACUGUAGCCCGGCCAUCCUCCACAGCUAAGGCAAAAUGCCUGGAAAGAACGAGCCAUUAGUUAAUUUAUUACUUUAUUAUUAAGGUUGGUGUUUAUUAAUUAAGCGGGAAUUAAUUAAAGGGGAAUUGUUUGGGUUCUUGAUUUUUAUUUGGGUGGCAUAUAUGGUGGGUGGUGUGACGGUGAAAUGGUUUACUUGCGUUGCCAAAAAAGCAAAGAAAGCGAUGGCAACUGUAUAAUAAAUGUUGGUUACUGUUGUAAUUUGAUAAUUGUUUCUCUUCCAGAAUCAAAUGAAUCAUCAAUGGUAUUAUACUCAGUUAUUUUUUUUUCUUUUGCUUUUU
RNAcentral lists this long non-coding RNA (2683 nucleotides) under Oryza sativa Indica Group (long-grained rice). RNAcentral describes it as "lncRNA OsKYG_06g0004080". The record is from RNAcentral. Lineage: Eukaryota; Viridiplantae; Streptophyta; Magnoliopsida; Poales; Poaceae.